Molecule: long non-coding RNA, 1431 nt
Organism: Malaclemys terrapin pileata
Lineage: Eukaryota; Metazoa; Chordata; Testudines; Emydidae
Exons: 3
Source: RefSeq, a predicted model, not a curated record
AGCACUCCUAUCAAUCACUUGCAGAAAAUCACUAGCAUGCAAAAUGAGAAAAAUCAGCAUAACAUUAAGUCACUCCAGUCUGGCAAUUUCCCUGGCCUCAUCCCCCUGGUUCUGGUUUUGAUGGUUUUACUCUGUGCUAGAAACACUAACAUGAAUUUAGCAUGCAGCAGACUAGAGAGGAUUUCAGAGGACGUGCUUUUUUUAGUAACAAACAGCAAUCCUAUCUGCUGCAGAAAAGCCUUUAAUUCAUUACAGCCUUGUCCUACCACAAUUUGCUGACUGCUCAGAUGGGUGGAUACAAUGGCUCCAUUGUUGUGUCUGAGGGAGAUCCCAUAAUUGCACACUGUUGAUUAAACGAGAUCUGUACAUCAGAGGGGACGUGGCAGCCGGGGAGAGGGCCGGAAAGCCUCCCUGCAUGGAUCACCUCUUCCUUCACUGGAUGGGCGAUCAGACGUGUAAGCUGUGGUACCAGGAUGUGGCCAGCACAGUUUUUGGCCAGCCAUCUUGACCUACUCUGAGGAAUUUUCGUGCAUGGGGCUUUGAAUUUGCAAGCGUGCUGUGUAUAUAAUCUUUCUCUGAAGAUCUUCUACAGUAUAGUAAUAGAGAAAGAAUGAUCGUAUGAUACGCUGCCCAAAGAAUAUUCAAAAUGCACAACUUUUAGCUUCAGCCAAUGGUGGUUAUCAAAUGGUAGUUGAACUACAUAUAUAGGUUUCCCUAUUUUCUCUGUGUAACUAUGGGGCACAAGGGUCAGUUUUAUUUACCAUUGCAUGACUCCAGUUUUACCUCAGAAUGACUCUCCUGGUUUCAGUAGUUCAUACUGGGCUUGAGCUACUGGUAGGGAUAGCAAUCUCAUCACCUCAGUGGUGCACAUUUAGGGUGGACCUGUGGGGAUUCUGGAGUACUAACUAGGCCUCCUUUGAUUGCUGGGCAGACCAACCCAGCCUUUUUAAUGCAUACUCAUCAACAAGGACAGAUCACAAAUAAUGGGUCAUCCCCUCACUAGUGGGAGUGGGAUGGUUGCCCCUUAAUCCACUACACUUCUGUUGGAAUAUCUGUAUAACAAGAUGUUGUAUGUUUCUCUUCCUAACUCCUAGUGUAUAUUGAUUGUAUCAGGCUGAUAAUGAGAUGAGCCUCACUAAUUGUAAUGCUAAGUUGCAACCAUUUUUCUUCUCAGAGAUCUGUGAGUAUGGAGGGCCUGGGCUCACAUAUAUGCACUGACAUCCUCCCUGUUCUCAGUUGUCUGGAGAAACUGCUAGAUUGAGUUUUUGCAAAACAAUAUGCAGGAGUGAUAAAGAAACAAUUCAAUAUUUAUUUCUGCUAGGCUCCUAAUAGACCUCUUGUAUGCACUCUGGCAUUUGCUCUUUAUUACCCUUUCUUUGUUAGUUUAAUCUUGUUGUACUGAAUGCUUAACUACUUUUUCCUUUCAGUGCC